UUAAGUUAUUAAGGGCGCACGGUGGAUGCCUUGGCACUAGAAGCCGAUGAAGGACGUUACUAACGACGAUAUGCUUUGGGGAGCUGUAAGUAAGCUUUGAUCCAGAGAUUUCCGAAUGGGGAAACCCAGCAUGAGUUAUGUCAUGUUAUCGAUAUGUGAAUACAUAGCAUAUCAGAAGGCACACCCGGAGAACUGAAACAUCUUAGUACCCGGAGGAAGAGAAAGAAAAUUCGAUUCCCUUAGUAGCGGCGAGCGAAACGGGAAGAGCCCAAACCAACAAGCUUGCUUGUUGGGGUUGUAGGACACUCUAUACGGAGUUACAAAGGACGACAUUAGACGAAUCAUCUGGAAAGAUGAAUCAAAGAAGGUAAUAAUCCUGUAGUCGAAAAUGUUGUCUCUCUUGAGUGGAUCCUGAGUACGACGGAGCACGUGAAAUUCCGUCGGAAUCUGGGAGGACCAUCUCCUAAGGCUAAAUACUCUCUAGUGACCGAUAGUGAACCAGUACCGUGAGGGAAAGGUGAAAAGCACCCCGGAAGGGGAGUGAAAUAGAACCUGAAACCGUGUGCUUACAAGUAGUCAGAGCCCGUUAAUGGGUGAUGGCGUGCCUUUUGUAGAAUGAACCGGCGAGUUACGAUUUGAUGCAAGGUUAAGCAGUAAAUGUGGAGCCGUAGCGAAAGCGAGUCUGAAUAGGGCGUUUAGUAUUUGGUCGUAGACCCGAAACCAGGUGAUCUACCCUUGGUCAGGUUGAAGUUCAGGUAACACUGAAUGGAGGACCGAACCGACUUACGUUGAAAAGUGAGCGGAUGAACUGAGGGUAGCGGAGAAAUUCCAAUCGAACCUGGAGAUAGCUGGUUCUCUCCGAAAUAGCUUUAGGGCUAGCCUCAAGUGAUGAUUAUUGGAGGUAGAGCACUGUUUGGACGAGGGGCCCCUCUCGGGUUACCGAAUUCAGACAAACUCCGAAUGCCAAUUAAUUUAACUUGGGAGUCAGAACAUGGGUGAUAAGGUCCGUGUUCGAAAGGGAAACAGCCCAGACCACCAGCUAAGGUCCCAAAAUAUAUGUUAAGUGGAAAAGGAUGUGGCGUUGCCCAGACAACUAGGAUGUUGGCUUAGAAGCAGCCAUCAUUUAAAGAGUGCGUAAUAGCUCACUAGUCGAGUGACACUGCGCCGAAAAUGUACCGGGGCUAAACAUAUUACCGAAGCUGUGGAUUGUCCUUUGGACAAUGGUAGGAGAGCGUUCUAAGGGCGUUGAAGCAUGAUCGUAAGGACAUGUGGAGCGCUUAGAAGUGAGAAUGCCGGUGUGAGUAGCAAAAGACGGGUGAGAAUCCCGUCCACCGAUUGACUAAGGUUUCCAGAGGAAGGCUCGUCCGCUCUGGGUUAGUCGGGUCCUAAGCUGAGGCCGACAGGCGUAGGCGAUGGAUAACAGGUUGAUAUUCCUGUACCACCUAUAAUCGUUUUAAUCGAUGGGGGGACGCAGUAGGAUAGGCGAAGCGUGCGAUUGGAUUGCACGUCUAAGCAGUAAGGCUGAGUAUUAGGCAAAUCCGGUACUCGUUAAGGCUGAGCUGUGAUGGGGAGAAGACAUUGUGUCUUCGAGUCGUUGAUUUCACACUGCCGAGAAAAGCCUCUAGAUAGAAAAUAGGUGCCCGUACCGCAAACCGACACAGGUAGUCAAGAUGAGAAUUCUAAGGUGAGCGAGCGAACUCUCGUUAAGGAACUCGGCAAAAUGACCCCGUAACUUCGGGAGAAGGGGUGCUCUUUAGGGUUAACGCCCAGAAGAGCCGCAGUGAAUAGGCCCAAGCGACUGUUUAUCAAAAACACAGGUCUCUGCUAAACCGUAAGGUGAUGUAUAGGGGCUGACGCCUGCCCGGUGCUGGAAGGUUAAGAGGAGUGGUUAGCUUCUGCGAAGCUACGAAUCGAAGCCCCAGUAAACGGCGGCCGUAACUAUAACGGUCCUAAGGUAGCGAAAUUCCUUGUCGGGUAAGUUCCGACCCGCACGAAAGGCGUAACGAUUUGGGCACUGUCUCAACGAGAGACUCGGUGAAAUCAUAGUACCUGUGAAGAUGCAGGUUACCCGCGACAGGACGGAAAGACCCCGUGGAGCUUUACUGUAGCCUGAUAUUGAAAUUCGGCACAGCUUGUACAGGAUAGGUAGGAGCCUUUGAAACGUGAGCGCUAGCUUACGUGGAGGCGCUGGUGGGAUACUACCCUAGCUGUGUUGGCUUUCUAACCCGCACCACUUAUCGUGGUGGGAGACAGUGUCAGGCGGGCAGUUUGACUGGGGCGGUCGCCUCCUAAAAGGUAACGGAGGCGCUCAAAGGUUCCCUCAGAAUGGUUGGAAAUCAUUCAUAGAGUGUAAAGGCAUAAGGGAGCUUGACUGCGAGACCUACAAGUCGAGCAGGGUCGAAAGACGGACUUAGUGAUCCGGUGGUUCCGCAUGGAAGGGCCAUCGCUCAACGGAUAAAAGCUACCCCGGGGAUAACAGGCUUAUCUCCCCCAAGAGUUCACAUCGACGGGGAGGUUUGGCACCUCGAUGUCGGCUCAUCGCAUCCUGGGGCUGUAGUCGGUCCCAAGGGUUGGGCUGUUCGCCCAUUAAAGCGGUACGCGAGCUGGGUUCAGAACGUCGUGAGACAGUUCGGUCCCUAUCCGUCGUGGGCGUAGGAAAUUUGAGAGGAGCUGUCCUUAGUACGAGAGGACCGGGAUGGACAUACCUCUGGUGUACCAGUUGUCGUGCCAACGGCAUAGCUGGGUAGCUAUGUGUGGACGGGAUAAGUGCUGAAAGCAUCUAAGCAUGAAGCCCCCCUCAAGAUGAGAUUUCCCAACUUCGGUUAUAAGAUCCCUCAAAGAUGAUGAGGUUAAUAGGUUCGAGGUGGAAGCAUGGUGACAUGUGGAGCUGACGAAUACUAAUCGAUCGAAGACUUAAUCAA
Molecule: ribosomal RNA, 2921 nt
Filed under: Staphylococcus aureus VET0299R
Lineage: Bacteria; Bacillati; Bacillota; Bacilli; Caryophanales; Staphylococcaceae
Description: bacterial LSU rRNA
Rfam family: Bacterial large subunit ribosomal RNA
Source: RNAcentral